CGGGGGGGCAAGCGUUGUUCGGAAUUACUGGGCGUAAAGGGCGCGUAGGCGGUUUGCUAAGUUGGAUGUGAAAACUCUGAGCUUAACUCAGAGCCUGCAUCCAAAACUGGCAGGCUGGAGUUUUGGAGGGGGAAGCGGAAUUCCUGGUGUAGCAGUGAAAUGCGUAGAUAUCAGGAGGAACACCGGUGGCGAAGGCGGCUUCCUGGACAAAAACUGACGCUGAGGCGCGAAAGCUAGGGGAGCAAACAGGAUUAGAUACCCUGGUAGUCCUAGCCCUAAACGAUGGAUACUUGCUGUGAGGGGGAUUGAAUCCCUUCGUGGCGAAGCUAACGCAUUAAGUAUCCCGCCUGGGGAUACGGGUCGCAAGGCUG
Molecule: ribosomal RNA, 371 nt
Filed under: uncultured organism
Description: bacterial SSU rRNA
Rfam family: Bacterial small subunit ribosomal RNA
Source: RNAcentral